CCUACGGGUGGCAGCAGUGAGGAAUAUUGGUCAAUGGACGAGAGUCUGAACCAGCCAAGUAGCGUGAAGGAUGACUGCCCUAUGGGUUGUAAACUUCUUUUAUAUGGGAAUAAAAUGUUCCACGUGUGGGAUUUUGUAUGUACCAUAUGAAUAAGGAUCGGCUACCUCCGUGCCAGCAGCCGCGGUAAUACGUAGGAUCCGAGCGUUAUCCGGAUUUAUUGGGUUUAAAGGGAGCGUAGGUGGAUUGUUAAGUCAGUUGUGAAAGUUUGCGGCUCAACCGUAAAAUUGCAGUUGAAACUGGCAGUCUUGAGUACAGUAGAGGUGGGCGGAAUUCGUGGUGUAGCGGUGAAAUGCUUAGAUAUCACGAAGAACUCCGAUUGCGAAGGCAGUUCACUGGACUGCAACUGACACUGAGGCUCGAAAGUGUGGGUAUCAAACAGGAUUAGAUACCCCAGUAGUC
Molecule: ribosomal RNA, 460 nt
Filed under: uncultured bacterium
Lineage: Bacteria
Description: partial 16S ribosomal RNA
Rfam family: Bacterial small subunit ribosomal RNA
Source: RNAcentral